Molecule: ribosomal RNA, 2590 nt
Filed under: Klebsiella pneumoniae
Lineage: Bacteria; Pseudomonadati; Pseudomonadota; Gammaproteobacteria; Enterobacterales; Enterobacteriaceae
Description: partial 23S ribosomal RNA
Rfam family: Bacterial large subunit ribosomal RNA
Source: RNAcentral
CGGUGAUAGUCCCGUACACCAAAAUGCACAGGCUGUGAACUCGAAGAGUAGGGCGGGACACGUGGUAUCCUGUCUGAAUAUGGGGGGACCAUCCUCCAAGGCUAAAUACUCCUGACUGACCGAUAGUGAACCAGUACCGUGAGGGAAAGGCGAAAAGAACCCCGGCGAGGGGAGUGAAAAAGAACCUGAAACCGUGUACGUACAAGCAGUGGGAGCACCUUCGGGUGUGACUGCGUACCUUUUGUAUAAUGGGUCAGCGACUUAUAUUCUGUAGCAAGGUUAACCGUAUAGGGGAGCCGCAGGGAAACCGAGUCUUAACUGGGCGUUAAGUUGCAGGGUAUAGACCCGAAACCCGGUGAUCUAGCCAUGGGCAGGUUGAAGGUUGGGUAACACUAACUGGAGGACCGAACCGACUAAUGUUGAAAAAUUAGCGGAUGACUUGUGGCUGGGGGUGAAAGGCCAAUCAAACCGGGAGAUAGCUGGUUCUCCCCGAAAGCUAUUUAGGUAGCGCCUCGUGAACUCAUCUUCGGGGGUAGAGCACUGUUUCGGCUAGGGGGUCAUCCCGACUUACCAACCCGAUGCAAACUACGAAUACCGAAGAAUGUUAUCACGGGAGACACACGGCGGGUGCUAACGUCCGUCGUGAAGAGGGAAACAACCCAGACCGCCAGCUAAGGUCCCAAAGUCAUGGUUAAGUGGGAAACGAUGUGGGAAGGCACAGACAGCCAGGAUGUUGGCUUAGAAGCAGCCAUCAUUUAAAGAAAGCGUAAUAGCUCACUGGUCGAGUCGGCCUGCGCGGAAGAUGUAACGGGGCUAAACCAUGCACCGAAGCUGCGGCAGCGACACUAUGUGUUGUUGGGUAGGGGAGCGUUCUGUAAGCCUGCGAAGGUGUGCUGUGAGGCAUGCUGGAGGUAUCAGAAGUGCGAAUGCUGACAUAAGUAACGAUAAAGCGGGUGAAAAGCCCGCUCGCCGGAAGACCAAGGGUUCCUGUCCAACGUUAAUCGGGGCAGGGUGAGUCGACCCCUAAGGCGAGGCCGAAAGGCGUAGUCGAUGGGAAACAGGUUAAUAUUCCUGUACUUGGUGUUACUGCGAAGGGGGGACGGAGAAGGCUAUGUUAGCCGGGCGACGGUUGUCCCGGUUUAAGCAUGUAGGCUGGUUAUCCAGGCAAAUCCGGAUAAUCAAGGCUGAGGUGUGAUGACGAGGCACUACGGUGCUGAAGUAACAAAUGCCCUGCUUCCAGGAAAAGCCUCUAAGCAUCAGGUAACAUCAAAUCGUACCCCAAACCGACACAGGUGGUCAGGUAGAGAAUACCAAGGCGCUUGAGAGAACUCGGGUGAAGGAACUAGGCAAAAUGGUGCCGUAACUUCGGGAGAAGGCACGCUGGUGUGUAGGUGAAGUCCCUGCGGAUGGAGCUGAGACCAGUCGAAGAUACCAGCUGGCUGCAACUGUUUAUUAAAAACACAGCACUGUGCAAACACGAAAGUGGACGUAUACGGUGUGACGCCUGCCCGGUGCCGGAAGGUUAAUUGAUGGGGUUAUCCGUAAGGAGAAGCUCUUGAUCGAAGCCCCGGUAAACGGCGGCCGUAACUAUAACGGUCCUAAGGUAGCGAAAUUCCUUGUCGGGUAAGUUCCGACCUGCACGAAUGGCGUAAUGAUGGCCAGGCUGUCUCCACCCGAGACUCAGUGAAAUUGAACUCGCUGUGAAGAUGCAGUGUACCCGCGGCAAGACGGAAAGACCCCGUGAACCUUUACUAUAGCUUGACACUGAACAUUGAGCCUUGAUGUGUAGGAUAGGUGGGAGGCUUUGAAGCGUGGACGCCAGUCUGCGUGGAGCCAACCUUGAAAUACCACCCUUUAAUGUUUGAUGUUCUAACGUUGGCCCCUGACCGGGGUUGCGGACAGUGUCUGGUGGGUAGUUUGACUGGGGCGGUCUCCUCCCAAAGCGUAACGGAGGAGCACGAAGGUUAGCUAAUCCUGGUCGGACAUCAGGAGGUUAGUGCAAUGGCAUAAGCUAGCUUGACUGCGAGCGUGACGGCGCGAGCAGGUGCGAAAGCAGGUCAUAGUGAUCCGGUGGUUCUGAAUGGAAGGGCCAUCGCUCAACGGAUAAAAGGUACUCCGGGGAUAACAGGCUGAUACCGCCCAAGAGUUCAUAUCGACGGCGGUGUUUGGCACCUCGAUGUCGGCUCAUCACAUCCUGGGGCUGAAGUAGGUCCCAAGGGUAUGGCUGUUCGCCAUUUAAAGUGGUACGCGAGCUGGGUUUAGAACGUCGUGAGACAGUUCGGUCCCUAUCUGCCGUGGGCGCUGGAGAAUUGAGGGGGGCUGCUCCUAGUACGAGAGGACCGGAGUGGACGCAUCACUGGUGUUCGGGUUGUCAUGCCAAUGGCACUGCCCGGUAGCUAAAUGCGGAAGAGAUAAGUGCUGAAAGCAUCUAAGCACGAAACUUGCCCCGAGAUGAGUUCUCCCUGAGACUUUAAGUCUCCUGAAGGAACGUUGAAGACGACGACGUUGAUAGGCCGGGUGUGUAAGCGCAGCGAUGCGUUGAGCUAACCGGUACUAAUGAACCGUGAGGCUUAACCUUACAACGCCGAAG